UAGUCUCAGUUCGGAUCGGAGUCUGNAACCCGACUCCGUGAAGCUGGAUUCGCUAGUAAUCGCGCAUCAGCCAUGGCGCGGUGAAUACGUUCCCGGGCCUUGUACACACCGCCCGUCACACCAUGAGAGUCGGGAACACCCGAAGUCCGUAGCCUAACCGCAAGGGGGGCGCGGCCGAAGGUGGGUUCGAUAAUUGGGGUGAAGUCGUAACAAGGUAGC
This 219-nucleotide ribosomal RNA is filed under the name uncultured bacterium. Its description in RNAcentral is "partial 16S ribosomal RNA". It matches the Rfam family "Bacterial small subunit ribosomal RNA", at positions 1283 to 1500 of the family's 1533-position model. The record is from RNAcentral.